Molecule: unclassified non-coding RNA, 647 nt
Filed under: uncultured Prochlorococcus sp.
Lineage: Bacteria; Bacillati; Cyanobacteriota; Cyanophyceae; Synechococcales; Prochlorococcaceae
Description: partial 16S-23S ribosomal RNA intergenic spacer; may also contain 16S ribosomal RNA and 23S ribosomal RNA
Rfam family: tRNA (bases 302-374)
Source: RNAcentral
UUGUGGAGGAGGACGCCGAAGGUGGGGCUAAUGACUGGGGUGAAGUCGUAACAAGGUAGCCGUACCGGAAGGUGCGGCUGGAUCACCUCCUAACAGGGAGACAACAAAAUGUAAAUAUUAAUUUUGUCACCUUAGGUCGAUCGGUACCUCAGAUUCUUAAUUUUAAGAAUUUCGGUUUCUAAGUUUUUUCUAGGUCACACCCAUCACUUUUUCCUGGGCCAUUAGCUCAGGUGGUUAGAGCGCACCCCUGAUAAGGGUGAGGUCCCUGGUUCAAGUCCAGGAUGGCCCAUAUCUCUAUGUUGGGGGUAUAGCUCAGUUGGUAGAGCGCCUGCUUUGCAAGCAGGAUGUCAGCGGUUCGAGUCCGCUUACCUCCACUGAAUACCACUUCUUUCAUAUUGUUAAUGAGGAAAACUGUUUUGAGUUGUGUUUUUUAUUCUGAACGAAUCUAGCUUCCUAUUUUAAAAAAUAAGAUGCUGGACUCAUUGAAUUUUAAUUCAUUGUUUUCAGAGAACCUUGACAACUGCAUAGAUUAUUUUGAAGACAAUAAGCAUCUUUAAUGAUGCAGAUUUAUUAUUUUUGCAAAUGCAACAAAUAACAAUUCUAUUAAGCUGAUGCUUCAAUUAUUGAAGUUAUUGGUCAAGCUACAA